UACGAGAGGCCCAAACGUUAUUCGGAUUUACUGGGCUUAAAGAGUUCGUAGGCGGCGCAGAAAGUAGGGUGUGAAAGCCCUCGGCUCAACCGAGGAAUUGCGCUCUAAACUACUGUGCUUGAGGGACCUAGAGGUGAGCAGAACUGAUGGUGGAGCGGUGAAAUGCGUUGAUAUCAUCAGGAAUACCGGAGGCGAAGGCGGCUCACUGGGGGUCUUCUGACGCUGAGGAACGAAAGCCAGGGGAGCGAACGGG
This 253-nucleotide ribosomal RNA is filed under the name uncultured bacterium. Its description in RNAcentral is "partial 16S ribosomal RNA". It matches the Rfam family "Bacterial small subunit ribosomal RNA", at positions 524 to 776 of the family's 1533-position model. The record is from RNAcentral.